RNAcentral lists this non-coding RNA (26 nucleotides) under Cricetulus griseus (Chinese hamster). The record is from RNAcentral. Lineage: Eukaryota; Metazoa; Chordata; Mammalia; Rodentia; Cricetidae.
UGAGUGGGAGAGUAAACUGAAAAGAC